UACGGAAGGCAGCAGUGGGGAAUAUUGCACAAUGGGCGCAAGCCUGAUGCAGCCAUGCCGCGUGUAUGAAAAAGGCCUUCGGGUUGUAAAGUACUUUCAGUCGUGAGGAAGGUGUUAAGGUUAAUAACCUUAGCAAUUGACGUUAGCGACAGAAGAAGCACCGGCUAACUCCGUGCCAGCAGCCGCGGUAAUACGGAGGGUGCGAGCGUUAAUCGGAAUUACUGGGCGUAAAGGGCACGCAGGCGGUUAAUUAAGUUGGAUGUGAAAUCCCCGGGCUUAACCUGGGAAUGGCAUUCAAGCUGGUUAGCUAGAGUCUUGUAGAGGGGGGUAGAAUUCCAUGUGUAGCGGUGAAAUGCGUAGAGAUGUGGAGGAAUACCGGUGGCGAAGGCGGCCCCUGGACAAAGACUGACGCUCAUGUGCGAAAGCGUGGGGAGCAAACGAGGGAUUAGAUACC
Molecule: ribosomal RNA, 454 nt
Filed under: uncultured bacterium
Lineage: Bacteria
Description: bacterial SSU rRNA
Rfam family: Bacterial small subunit ribosomal RNA
Source: RNAcentral